Molecule: long non-coding RNA, 1367 nt
Organism: Vicia villosa (hairy vetch)
Lineage: Eukaryota; Viridiplantae; Streptophyta; Magnoliopsida; Fabales; Fabaceae
Exons: 2
Source: RefSeq, a predicted model, not a curated record
UUGACUUUUCAACUCUUGAAAAGUUAGACGCAAGGUAAUUGGAUAUAUACAUAUAUAUAUAAACUUGUAGAUCUCACAGUUUGGAUGCAAAACACGGUGUUAUCAGAAGAAAACCAAAACGACAAUAUCAGUUCAUCUCUUUUCCCAUAUUCAAACAAUUAACAAAAGAAACAAAGCAAAUAUUUACCAAAUCAAUCACCCAGAAACUCAUGAGAUCAAAUGAAAGGAAAGACAGGUGAAAACUCACAUGGAUCUAAGGGCGGUUCCGACGUAACGUUAGAGAGGAGGCUGUCGGGAUACUUCCGAUCGUCCUUGCAGCUGUCUUUGGUUGUCGGCGCGGAGCGGCUGUUCGAAGGAUCUACUGAACAGGUUGGCUGAAGUUGAAUCGUAGUCGUCGGUGCUCUGUGUUGCGUUGCGGUUGUUGGCACUCUGUGUUGCGUUGCGGUUGUUGGCGAGGUGCUCGUCGGAGAUUUGUGAGCACGAAUUUCUCGCGCGGUGGUUCUGCGCGUGGUGCAGCGACCAUGGGCUUGACGGCGAGGAGGUGGACGAAGCGAUUAUGCGUGGAACAAUCGUCGGCAAUUUAUUUACCAUGUGCGCUUCAGAUUGACAGAGAUGAGACCCUCCUCAUGCUCAGGCACGUGCUCUGAGCGGUUGUUGGUGGUUCAAGAGAAGUGACGUAGCAAAUCGGUGAUGAUUUCAAGCUAUUGUGUUUUGUCUGACGAGUCGAUUUCUUAAGUCGAUAAAGAUGCGUUGAAUUAAAGCUUCUUGUACGAUUUGUGAAGGUGAUUGUUGAGCGUCAAGCUGUUGUUGUAUUGACUAACCGCUGGAUUACUGUUGCUUUUUUGGCAGGUUUUAUGAUGAUGGAACUGUGAAUAUGUUUAAUUGAUGGAUUAGUGGUUUUACGCUAAUGGAUGAAGGUUCUGCAGAAGGAUUGGGAAGAAGUAACGUUACAGCUUGUGAUGGAGAAUUGGUUGAUGAAAAGGUUGAAAAUAUGGAUCAAUUUUCUGGAAUUCUGGUGAACAUGGUUCAGGUUUUAAGGAAGAUUGCAAUUAACGGUUUGGAGGAAGUUUGAGAUUAACUUUGGUGGAGUGACAACACUAUUUUCUUCCUUUCUUGUGUGAAAUUGUUCGCGAUGAAAAGUGUAUAUAAAAAAAAGGAUGGUGUGAACUCCUUUUGUACGUGAGGGAUUGAGAGUGUAUGAAAGUGAAUAAGGGUUGUAUGAGUUACCAAUCGUGGGAAUAGGUUAGGUUUUUUCUCCCUUUUGUGAAUUAUGGCUCCUCCUUUUAUAGCAUAGCUUUUAGGGUUUUUUAAUGUGUAACUUGGGCCUUACUAAAAAAUAGACAAUGGACCUCUGGAGAUUUCUUGGA